AUUGAACGCUGGCGGCAUGCCUUACACAUGCAAGUCGAACGGUAACGCGGGGGCAACCCUGGCGACGAGUGGCGAACGGGUGAGUAAUACAUCGGAACAUAUCCAGUAGCGGGGGAUAACCUAUCGAAAGAUGGACUAGUACCGCAUACGAUCUACGGAUGAAAGCAGGGGACCGCAAGGCCUUGCACUAUUGGAGUAGCCGAUGUCGGAUUAGCUAGUUGGUGGGGUAAAAGCCUACCAAGGCGACGAUCCGUAGCUGGUCUGAGAGGACGAUCAGCCACACUGGAACUGAGACACGGUCCAGACUCCUACGGGAGGCAGCAGUGGGGAAUUUUGGACAAUGGGCGCAAGCCUGAUCCAGCCAUGCCGCGUGAGUGAAGAAGGCCUUCGGGUUGUAAAGCUCUUUCGGUGAAGACGAAACGGUUAGCGCUAAUAACGCUGGCUAAUGACAGUACUCACAGAAGAAGCACCGGCUAACUACGUGCCAGCCGCCGCCGUAA
Molecule: ribosomal RNA, 500 nt
Filed under: uncultured bacterium
Lineage: Bacteria
Description: partial 16S ribosomal RNA
Rfam family: Bacterial small subunit ribosomal RNA
Source: RNAcentral